RNAcentral lists this ribosomal RNA (422 nucleotides) under uncultured bacterium. RNAcentral's name for it is "bacterial SSU rRNA". It matches the Rfam family "Bacterial small subunit ribosomal RNA", at positions 355 to 774 of the family's 1533-position model. The record is from RNAcentral.
UAAGGAAUAUUGGACAAUGGAGGCAACUCUGAUCCAGCCAUGCCGCGUGAAGGAAUAAGGCCCUAUGGGUUGUAAACUUCUUUUAGACGGGACAAAACCCCUUUACGUGUAAAGGGUUGAUGGUACUGUCAGAAUAAGCAUCGGCUAACUUCGUGCCAGCAGCCGCGGUAAUACGAAGGAUGCAAGCGUUAUCCGGAAUUAUUGGGUUUAAAGGGUGCGUAGGCGGACUAAUAAGCCAGUGGUGAAAGCCUGCAGCUUAACUGCAGAAUUGCCAUUGAUACUGUUAGUCUUGAGUACAGUUGAGGUAGGCGGAGUGUGUCAUGUAGCGGUGAAAUGCUUAGAUAUGACACAGAACACCGAUUGCGAAGGCAGCUUGCUAGGCUGUAACUGACGCUGAGGCACGAAAGCGUGGGGAGCAAACA